Molecule: long non-coding RNA, 1727 nt
Organism: Oncorhynchus tshawytscha (Chinook salmon)
Lineage: Eukaryota; Metazoa; Chordata; Actinopteri; Salmoniformes; Salmonidae
Source: Ensembl
AGCUGAAUGAAAUCAAGCGCACCUAAUCUCAAUUGGGAAAUUGGACCAAUGGAAAUUAUGUUCAGUGGCUUGCAGGUGUACCUAAUUAACCAGCCAAAUUAGAAGGGUCUAGGAUUCCUUUGUAAGGCGCAGCAAAAAAGACAAUCAGAUACAAUAUCAGGGAUCUCCUGGUAAGGCUUCUGGCUACCAUUAGUUCUGACUACUGAGGUUUUGAUGAGAAAAAUGGCUGUGAGUUUUGAAAUGUCUUUGAGAAUUUCUUGGAUUUGUUGCCUGCUAAUUGGAGGGAUAACCUGUUAUCCUCCACCUAAAGGUAAUUAUAGAUAUAUUCCCCAAAAUCAAGUAAAAGGAACUGGCCACAAUGCAGCGGAAGCUACUGGCUCCCGUGCCUCGACAGGUGAAGCUACCGGCUCCCGUGCCUCAGCAGGUGAAGCAGCCACCCAUAACGCCUCUGUAAGCGUCACGACUGGCCCAAAUACCUUAGCUGAAGCAACUGGCCACAAUGCUUCAUCAAGCGCCACGACUGUCCCAAAUGCCUUAGGUGAAGCAGCUGGCCACAGGGCCGCGCAAGCCAUCACCCAUAAUGCCUCGGCAAGAAUGGCAACUGGCCCAAAUACCUUAGGUGAAGCAACUGGCCACGGUGCCUCGGCAGCGGAAGCAACUGGACACAGUGCCAUGCAAACGGCCACUCAUAAUGCCUCAGAAGCGGCCAACCACAAUGCCUCUGCAAGCGUCACGACUGGCCCAAAUAUCUUAGGUGAAGCAAAUGGCCACAAUGCUUCAUCAAGCGUCACGACUGGCCCAAAUACCUUGGGUGAAGUAUCCGACUCCCGUGCCUCAGCAGAAGCAGCAACCCAUAAUACCUCAGCAAGCAUCACGACUGGCCCAAAUACCUUGGGUGAAGUAUCCGACUCCCGUGCCUCAGCAGAAGCAGCAACCCAUAAUAUCUCAGCAAGCGUCACGACUGGCCCAAAUACCUUAGCUGAAGCAACUGGCCACAAUGCUUCAUCAAGCGCCACGACUGGCCCAAGUGCCUCAGGUGAAGCAACUGGCCACAGUGCCUCUGCAGAGGAAGCAACUGGCCACAGUGCCACGCAAGCGGCCACCCAUAAUGCCUCGACAAGUGUGGUAGCUGGCCCAAAUACCUUAGCUGAAGCAACUGGCCACAAUGCUUCAUCAAGCGCCACGACUGGCCCAAGUGCCUCAGGUGAAGUAACUGGCCACAGUGCCUCUGCAGAGGAAGCAACUGGCCACAGUGCCACGCAAGCGGCCACCCAUAAUGCCUCGACAAGUGUGGCAGCUGGCCCAAAUACCUUAGGUGAAGCAAUUUGCCACAGUGCUUCAUCAAGCGCCACGACUGGCCUAAAUACCUUCGGUGAAGCAACCGGCCACUUUGCCUCUGCAGCGGAAGCAACCGGCCACGGUACCUCAAGUGCGGAAUCUGGUUCAAAUGCCUCGGCAGAAGCGACAGGCGCCCUUGCCUCGGCAGAAGCGACAGGCGCCCUUGCCUCGGCAGAAGCGACAGGCGCCCUUGCCUCGGCAGAAGCGACAGGCGCCCUUGCCUCGGCAGAAGCGACAGGCGCCCUUGCCUCGGCAGAAGCGACAGGCGCCCUUGCCUCGGCAGAAGCGACAGGCGCCCUUGCCUCGGCAGAAGCGACAGGCGCCCUUGCCUCGGCAGAAGCGACAGGCGCCCUUGCCUCGGCAGAAGCGACAGGCGCCCUUGCCUCGGC